Molecule: ribosomal RNA, 1125 nt
Filed under: Staphylococcus aureus
Lineage: Bacteria; Bacillati; Bacillota; Bacilli; Caryophanales; Staphylococcaceae
Description: partial 23S ribosomal RNA
Rfam family: Bacterial large subunit ribosomal RNA
Source: RNAcentral
AUUAGACGAAUCAUCUGGAAAGAUGAAUCAAAGAAGGUAAUAAUCCUGUAGUCGAAAAUGUUGUCUCUCUUGAGUGGAUCCUGAGUACGACGGAGCACGUGAAAUUCCGUCGGAAUCUGGGAGGACCAUCUCCUAAGGCUAAAUACUCUCUAGUGACCGAUAGUGAACCAGUACCGUGAGGGAAAGGUGAAAAGCACCCCGGAAGGGGAGUGAAAUAGAACCUGAAACCGUGUGCUUACAAGUAGUCAGAGCCCGUUAAUGGGUGAUGGCGUGCCUUUUGUAGAAUGAACCGGCGAGUUACGAUUUGAUGCAAGGUUAAGCAGUAAAUGUGGAGCCGUAGCGAAAGCGAGUCUGAAUAGGGCGUUUAGUAUUUGGUCGUAGACCCGAAACCAGGUGAUCUACCCUUGGUCAGGUUGAAGUUCAGGUAACACUGAAUGGAGGACCGAACCGACUUACGUUGAAAAGUGAGCGGAUGAACUGAGGGUAGCGGAGAAAUUCCAAUCGAACCUGGAGAUAGCUGGUUCUCUCCGAAAUAGCUUUAGGGCUAGCCUCAAGUGAUGAUUAUUGGAGGUAGAGCACUGUUUGGACGAGGGGCCCCUCUCGGGUUACCGAAUUCAGACAAACUCCGAAUGCCAAUUAAUUUAACUUGGGAGUCAGAACAUGGGUGAUAAGGUCCGUGUUCGAAAGGGAAACAGCCCAGACCACCAGCUAAGGUCCCAAAAUAUAUGUUAAGUGGAAAAGGAUGUGGCGUUGCCCAGACAACUAGGAUGUUGGCUUAGAAGCAGCCAUCAUUUAAAGAGUGCGUAAUAGCUCACUAGUCGAGUGACACUGCGCCGAAAAUGUACCGGGGCUAAACAUAUUACCGAAGCUGUGGAUUGUCCUUUGGACAAUGGUAGGAGAGCGUUCUAAGGGCGUUGAAGCAUGAUCGUAAGGACAUGUGGAGCGCUUAGAAGUGAGAAUGCCGGUGUGAGUAGCGAAAGACGGGUGAGAAUCCCGUCCACCGAUUGACUAAGGUUUCCAGAGGAAGGCUCGUCCGCUCUGGGUUAGUCGGGUCCUAAGCUGAGGCCGACAGGCGUAGGCGAUGGAUAACAGGUUGAUAUUCCUGUACCACCUAUAAUCGUUUUA